Gallus gallus (chicken) is the source of this 2763-nucleotide long non-coding RNA. The record is from Ensembl. Lineage: Eukaryota; Metazoa; Chordata; Aves; Galliformes; Phasianidae.
AUGCUCCUCUGCUGGAUCCAGCUUGCCCUGUGUAAGACAAUGGGGCACAGGACGAGGACAACACCUCUUCUGACUAAGCCAAAAAUCACCAUCCAUACACUGCUGCACUGUUAUUACUUGUUGGACUUUAAGGAGACAUUAAGGAGCAAAGGCAUUUUUUCCCCAUCAUGUAACACAAAAAUUCCCACAGAUUGCCAUGUACAUGAGCAGCAGCAGGGGUUAUUUCCAGCUAAGCCAGUUUAAAUGCAUUUGAUCAUUUUGAUUAAACACAUUCUUCAUGGUGCUGAGAGGCAAAACUGAAACAGCAGAAAGAGCUACGGAUCUAAACAGGAGUCAGCUGACAGCAGUGUAUGAGGAUUUAAGUCUUAUAUUCUGUUCAGUCCUGUGUUAAUUUUGUUCCUUUUUAGGCAAGCUGAGGAUGAGACUCUACAAACCCUCAGGAAAUGUCACUGUCAGUGGAGACAGUCUUGGCUGCUCUGUUCCUUCCUUGUGCCCCCUCCCAGAGCAUGCUGCUGCAGUUAUGGGAUGGCCUGGGAUACCUCCUGCACCAAUGAAACAUGGCCAAAAGGCAGAGGUCAGGCCUGAAAUAACAGAGGACUGUGUGCUCUGGGACUGACAGCUUUUAAUGUGAGAAAAGUCAUUCAGCACUGACAUUUCUGCUGCAUUAAUUGCCAUUAGUGUCAUCCUUGCGGGAACACUAAAUUCAUUGCAAACCUUGAAUUAAUGCUCUCUCAUAAUUCUUCAGUUUGUGCUUGGAUGCAACCAUUUGCGGAGGCAGCACGUUCCAAGCAACUGGAGCAGAGACAAGGAAUGAUACUCGGCUGGCCCUUGGAUGUUCAAUUUAGCGAAGAAAAGAAGCAGAGGUCAUACUCAUAACUGCGCAUUUAUGGUUCUGCUCUGGAAAUUCAUGGAGCAGCUGCCAAAAAGGCCCCAGCUCUUGCCUCGGCAGUACCAAUGUGUGUUGGGCUCCCAGCUCAGAGUGGCUCAGCUCCAAGCACUGUGCAUCUGAUUCUUUCCUCACACCCUCCCGUCAUCCUCCCUCUUCUUGCCUGUCACUGGCUCCUCAGACCCCAAGAGAAAUCCUGGUUCUACAGCUCAAAUAAGAAGAAAUGGGCCCAAUCAAAAAUACUUCCUCUAUAUCACUCUGGAGAUGGAAUAACAAAGGAUCUGGAACUAAACAUGGACAUAUCCAGAGUCAAACCUCAUCCUGGUUCCAGAGAUCUGCAUGGCACUGAGAAAAGAGUGGGAAUGGAGCAGUUCUAGAAAAAUCGAAUAUCUUCUGAUGGCAUUUUUGCUAGUCCAAUAUUACAAUAAGCAGAAGGGAAGGAAUAUCUCCUGCAGCCUUUGGGAAGAGGGAUCGAGUGCCACAGACUUGAUGACUUGGUGUUUCUUAUGAUGACUGUGAGAAUGAAGUCAUCGGUUUCCUGCAUCCAUUUUGGACUCAGCACAUAUCUCCCAGCCUAUGUCUGUUGUCUCCAGAGACAAAUUAGCAAGAUAGUACUGGCAGCUCCAGGGCAACUGCUGGCCAAGAUACAAUUUCUGAGGUGUUCUCAAAAUCUUACUCUUACUAGACCUGCACAGGAUUUUAUUUCUUAUUAAAGGCCAAAAUCUACUUGCUGAUGAUAUAUUUAACAGGAGCAUCGCUACCAGAUAAACACAAUGUCAUCAUCACAUCGCUCAUCAUUUGCUAAUUCUGAUUCGAACAGUCAGCCCUGGAGAAGGAAGGAGGCAGCUUGACUUCUGCGGCUCGUCCAUUCACUGCUGAAACAACCAGCAGAGCAGGCUGGCUGUGCUCAGCAUGGCAAUGUUCGUUGUGAAGCUCUGCAAUUACCCAAGGAGCCAGGCUGUGGCUCUAAAACUUUGCUCAUUGAGAUCAUUAGAGGGCUGUCAGACAGAACAACUGGGAUGGCUUUGAUCUGGCAAAACACCCUUCCUCCUGCUCCCCUACCUUGGGAACCGGCCAGUUCCUCAUAAUCAUUUUUUUUUCAAGCCAUUCACACAACACUCAUUGUUUUUUCAUAGGGUGCAAUAAAUUCUGCGGGCAAACUGAAGACUGUAACAGCUGGAUAGAUUAAUGUAUUAAAUAGAAGUCUGAAUAUUUCAAUGAUUCUUCCAUAAAUACGUUCAUAGCUGAUUUUGCCAAGAAAAUGACAAAACGUUGCGCAGAAUCCCAAAGAUAUUCCCUACCAAUCCACUAGGUGUCCUACUGUUUACAAGUAAUUAGGCUCAACUUCUAAUUAUUUAUUUAUUUAUCUAGCUGCCUGUUUAUUUAUUUAUUUUUGUCCUGAUUUUGCCAGCGAGAAAUUAGAGUCUUUAGUGGAAUUAGGUCUGGGUUUCCAGGUUGAAAUAACACAGAUGUAUGGGUCGUGUGACAGCAGGACAUCUGGCACACAGCAGUAGCUCUUUUGGCAAAUGCUGCUGAUGUUUCCCAUAGAGACCAGCUCAAGGUUAUAGGCUGCAAAGAAAUAGGAAAAGAAUCUGCUUUCCUCUCCUGGGAAUACUAACCAAGAUCCAUCCGAGCCUCUCCUAGAUCAACCUUGGGCUGCUAUUUAUAGGACUGCUAAAGUGAGCCCAACGCUGACCUUAAAGGUGAUGGCAAAAUGUGUCCUUAAUCAGAGCCGCUCCGCACAGGCUGCAAUUUUGACAUUCCUGGUCACCGUUCCAGUCCCUGAUGGGUCCUGCUGCCUGCCAGCACUCGCGCCUGGCUGCAAAGGCCAGCACAGCACCCGCUCACGAGGUGUCCUGGCACUUCCAACACAGAGG